This 468-nucleotide ribosomal RNA is filed under the name uncultured bacterium. RNAcentral describes it as "partial 16S ribosomal RNA". It matches the Rfam family "Bacterial small subunit ribosomal RNA", at positions 28 to 507 of the family's 1533-position model. The record is from RNAcentral.
GACGAACGCUGGCGGCGUGCUUAACACAUGCAAGUCGAACGGAAAGGCCCUGCUUUUGUGGGGUGCUCGAGUGGCGAACGGGUGAGUAACACGUGAGUAACCUGCCCUUGACUUUGGGAUAUCUUCAGGAAACUGGGGCUAAUACCGGAUAGGAGCUCCUGCUGCAUGGUGGGGGUUGGAAAGUUUCGGCGGUUGGGGAUGGACUCGGGGCUUAUCAGCUUGUUGGUGGGGUAGUGGCUUACCAAGGCUUUGACGGGUAGCCGGCCUGAGAGGGUGACCGGCCACAUUGGGACUGAGAUACGGCCCAGACUCCUACGGGAGGCAGCAGUGGGGAAUAUUGCACAAUGGGCGGAAGCCUGAUGCAGCAACGCCGCGUGCGGGAUGACGGCCUUCGGGUUGUAAACCGCUUUCGCCUGUGACGAAGCGUGAGUGACGGUAAUGGGUAAAGAAGCACCGGCUAACUACGUG